This 439-nucleotide long non-coding RNA is filed under the name Daucus carota (carrot). RNAcentral describes it as "long non-coding RNA (DCAR_LNC000134)". The record is from RNAcentral. Lineage: Eukaryota; Viridiplantae; Streptophyta; Magnoliopsida; Apiales; Apiaceae.
GAGCCAAACACUAAGAGUUAAACACUUGGUGAGAUUCUGAGAAGAACCAGUGAGAUAUCUGAACGAGAAAUAUGUGAGCAUGAGUGAGUGCAAACACAUAGGAAAUUGAGAAGAGUGAAACACUUGUGAGGUACAUAUUAUAAUAUUUAGUAUCGAAAACUCACAUGUUGUUGAAAGAAUUGACGGAAGCAACUACGGUUCAUUCCAUUUCACGGUGUGAACUUAUGGUUGAUGAUUCUCUUGAAUCAAGUGUCUUCACAGACAUUGAGGAGGACUUAGGCCUUUGCCAUAAUUAAGCGUUUGUCUAACCUCCCAGAACAACUCUGGAUCCUUAAUUGGAUAAGCCACUUAGUGGUUGGCAACUUGUGGACCAUGAUUCGGAUUUAUCUGAUGAGUCUGCAGGGACUGGGAAUUACGAACUCCCAUUGCACCACCGGUG